This 417-nucleotide ribosomal RNA is filed under the name uncultured archaeon. Its description in RNAcentral is "partial 16S ribosomal RNA". It matches the Rfam family "Archaeal small subunit ribosomal RNA", at positions 330 to 747 of the family's 1478-position model. The record is from RNAcentral.
GCGCAGCAGGCGCGAAAACUUCGCAAUACGCGCAAGCGUGACGAGGGAACCCCAAGUCCUCUUGCUUUUUGCAGGCGUUUUUGCCAAGUGUAAACCGCUUGGAGAAUAAGGGCGGGGUCAGGCCGGUGCCAGCCGCCGCGGUAAUACCGGCCGCCCGAGUCGUGCCCACUAUUAUUGGGCCUAAAGCGUCCGUAGCCGGUUUUGUAAGUUUCUGGGUAAAUCCCACAGCUUAACUGCGGGAAGUCCAGAAAUACUGCAGAGCUAGGGGCCGGGAGACGCAGAAGGUACACCUGGGGUAGGGGUGAAAUCCUAUAAUCCUAGGGGGACCACCAGUGGCGAAGGCGUGCUGCGAGAACGGGCUCGACGGUGAGGGACGAAAGCCAGGGGCGCAAACGGGAUUAGAGACCCCUGGAGUCC